This 441-nucleotide ribosomal RNA is filed under the name uncultured bacterium. RNAcentral's name for it is "partial 16S ribosomal RNA". It matches the Rfam family "Bacterial small subunit ribosomal RNA", at positions 339 to 795 of the family's 1533-position model. The record is from RNAcentral.
CUACGGGGGGCUGCAGUGGGGAAUAUUGGGCAAUGGGCGCAAGCCUGACCCAGCAACGCCGCGUGAGGGAAGAAGGUUUUCGGAUUGUAAACCUCUGUCCUUGGGGACGAAGAAGUGACGGUACCCAAGGAGGAAGCUCCGGCUAACUACGUGCCAGCAGCCGCGGUAAUACGUAGGGAGCAAGCGUUGUCCGGAAUUACUGGGCGUAAAGGGUGCGUAGGCGGCAUAUUAAGUCAGGUGUGAAAUACUCGGGCUCAACCCGAGGGGUGCAUUUGAAACUGAUAAGCUUGAGUGUGAGAGAGGAAAGUGGAGUUCCUAGUGUAGCGGUGGAAUGCGUAGAUAUUAGGAGGAACACCAGUGGCGAAGGCGACUCUCUGGCUCAUAACUGACGCUGAGGCACGAAAGCGUGGGGAGCAAACAGGAUUAGAUACCCUGGUAGUC